UGGGGAAUCUUGCACAAUGGAGGAAACUCUGAUGCAGCGACGCCGCGUGAGCGAAGAAGCCUUUCGGGGUGUAAAGCUCUUACGCCAGGGACGAUAAUGACGGUACCUGGAGAAGCAGCUGCGGCUAACUACGUGCCAGCAGCCGCGGUAAUACGUAGGCAGCAAGCGUUGUUCGGAAUUACUGGGCGUAAAGGGUGCGUAGGCGGCGCUCUAAGUUUGGUGUGAAAUCUCCCGGCUUAACUGGGAGGGUGCACUGAAAACUGGGGCGCUCGGGUAUGGGAGAGGAAAGCAGAAUUCCUGGUGUAGCGGUGAAAUGCGUAGAGAUCAGGAGGAACACCUGCGGUGCAGACGGCUUUCUGGACCAUCACUGACGCUGAGGCACGAAAGCGUGGGUAGCAAACA
This 402-nucleotide ribosomal RNA is filed under the name uncultured bacterium. RNAcentral's name for it is "bacterial SSU rRNA". It matches the Rfam family "Bacterial small subunit ribosomal RNA", at positions 355 to 774 of the family's 1533-position model. The record is from RNAcentral.